AGACUCCACAAGACCCCUGUCUUACCUGCUUCUCAUGAGUGACCAGAGAAGGACUGUCGAAAUUUGUUGAUUCUGGACCAUUCUUUUGCAAUUAGCUAAAAAGUAAAUAUUAAGGGAGAUUGUCCAUUUAAGCAGAAGCCUGCAGUCCAUUUUUAAUUGGUAUUUUAAACCAUCAAAUCCGUCAAUGUCAGUGCAUAUAUUUAACCAGAGUGAAAUUGUUCAAUUGUAGAUAGAAAUGAAUUUGCAAACCAGCAUUUCUUUGUGUGCCGUUUAUUUUAAAAUGUCAAUUUGUGAGUGUUGUUUGUUUGCCUGUUAGCUGGUUCAGAUAAUGUUCUGAUUUUUUUUAAUGCUGCAUUUGCUCAUUAGAUUUAGAAACAUGGAUGGUUCUUAAAGUCUCUGGAAAUCAAAUCUUAAUGGAUGUACAAAUUUGUAUUACUGUAAAUAUCCUGUGCAAUCUUCAAAGUGACUUUUUAUAUAAAGAAAAACAAUCCCUGGACUAUCAGUGCUACGGCUUGCAGUAAAAUGAAGUCUUCCCUUGGAUUUUCAGUGUUAGUUAUGUUCAGUUUUUGCAAAAAUAGGCUUUAAAAUUUUGUUUAAAAACCAAGAUGGGAGAAACUCAUUGUGCAUUUUGUACCUUUUAACUGAUAAAUCUGUUUAUCGAUGAUACCCUGUUUGACCAUCUUUAAUAUUUUAUGUUUGAGACACAGUGUUAUGGUAUAAAAUUUGUCAAGGACUCAAAACGGAUGUUGUUGCAUCUGUUGUCUAAUAUAUGCAGCCACUGAUAUUCAUUUCCAUUUCCUGCAAAGCCGGAAAUAAAUUUCUACCCCAUGAUUUCUAUGUGAGCUGAUGUCUGUAUGGUUUGGAUAUAGGUAUUACAAUAGGCCUCAUCUCUGGGCGGGGAAGGAACAGUUAGGGUUGCUGAACUACACUCACUCUCUGCAAUGAUGGUGACAUAGAAUGUACAACAUGGGAUCAGGCCAUUUUCUUUCCUCCUUUCUUCAUGUUCCCCAAACAUAAGUAUUGCUUAGCCAUAGUCCAUAAUGGACCAUCUCUCCAUUAAGGAAAAGCAGUUUAUAUAUAAUUUGAGGGACACCAUAUGCAAUUGUGAGGCAAGGUAAAGAGGUAAGCCUUCAUGUGCAGACAGUACAAGAAUGGAGCCUACACUAUUGGCAUCAUUCAAUAGAAUGCACUAGUCAUCCAGCCAACUCAGCUAAUUGACCUCACCUCAUAUGUCAAGAUAACACCCCCAUCACAACAUCUGUGCUUUUCAUUUAAACAAUUUCAUGUUGCAGAGAAUUCCACUCAUUGUGGUAAAGGCGUUUUUCCUGUAUUCCUUGUUCAGCUUAUUGCAGGUCCUUACAAACAAAAACAGCUUCUCUACAAUCACCCUUUUCAUAAUCUUAAAGGCCACUUAACAAAUCACUUCUUCACUGCAUUUUUUCUAGCCUGUUCAAUAUUUCUUGAUAUGAAUAACCUUGUAUCUCCAAUAUCAUCCUUGCAAAUCAUUUUUCAGUUUCACCAAUGGCACGAUGUACCCUUGAAAAAUAGAGGCCAGAACUCUUCUCUUACAUGGUACCCUCCAUUUAUGUGUUAUGUUCUCUACAAAUUCAAUAUAGUGCCUCUGCUUUCCCUCUAAACAUGAUUCCCACUU
Molecule: non-coding RNA, 1651 nt
Organism: Chiloscyllium plagiosum (whitespotted bambooshark)
Lineage: Eukaryota; Metazoa; Chordata; Chondrichthyes; Orectolobiformes; Hemiscylliidae
Source: RefSeq, a predicted model, not a curated record